CAAACCAAAGCUGGCGACCGGCGCACGGGUGAGUAACACGUAUCCAACCUGCCUCAUACUCGGGGGUAGCCUUUCGAAAGAAAGAUUAAUAUCCGAUAGCAUAUAUUUCCCGCAUGGGUUUUAUAUUAAAGAAAUUCGGUAUGAGAUGGGGAUGCGUUCCAUUAGUUUGUUGGGGGGGUAACGGCCCACCAAGACUACGAUGGAUAGGGGUUCUGAGAGGAAGGUCCCCCACAUUGGAACUGAGACACGGCCAA
Molecule: ribosomal RNA, 254 nt
Filed under: uncultured bacterium
Lineage: Bacteria
Description: partial 16S ribosomal RNA
Rfam family: Bacterial small subunit ribosomal RNA
Source: RNAcentral